CCUACGGGAGACAGCAGUGAGGAAUAUUGGUCAAUGGCCGUAAGGCUGAACCAGCCAAGUAGCGUGAGGGAAGACUGCCCUAUGGGUUGUAAACCCCUUCUAUGCGGGGAUAAAGGUGUCCACGUGUGGAUGUUUGCAGGUACCGCAUGAAUAAGGACCGGCUAAUUCCGUGCCAGCAGCCGCGGUAAUCCGGAAGGUCAGGGCGUUAUCCGGCUUGAAUGGGUUUAAAGGGAGCGUAGUCCGGUCUUUAAGCGUGCCGUGAAAUUUUGUGGCUCAACCAUGAGAGUGCGGCGGAGACUGGAGACCUUGAGUGCGCGGAAGGCAGGCGGAAUUCGUGGUGUAGCGGUGAAAUGCUUAGAUAUCACGAAGAACCCCGAUUGCGAAGGCAGCCUGCCGCAGCGUUACUGACGCUGAGGCUCGAAAGCGCGGGUAUCGAACAGGAUUAGAUACCCGUGUAGUC
Molecule: ribosomal RNA, 460 nt
Filed under: uncultured bacterium
Lineage: Bacteria
Description: partial 16S ribosomal RNA
Rfam family: Bacterial small subunit ribosomal RNA
Source: RNAcentral